RNAcentral lists this ribosomal RNA (465 nucleotides) under Vreelandella stevensii. RNAcentral describes it as "partial 16S ribosomal RNA". It matches the Rfam family "Bacterial small subunit ribosomal RNA", at positions 338 to 795 of the family's 1533-position model. Lineage: Bacteria; Pseudomonadati; Pseudomonadota; Gammaproteobacteria; Oceanospirillales; Halomonadaceae. The record is from RNAcentral.
CCUACGGGCGGCAGCAGUGGGGAAUAUUGGACAAUGGGGGCAACCCUGAUCCAGCCAUGCCGCGUGUGUGAAGAAGGCCCUCGGGUUGUAAAGCACUUUCAGUGAGGAAGAACGCCUGGUGGUUAAUACCCAUCAGGAAAGACAUCACUCACAGAAGAAGCACCGACUAACUCCGUGCCAGCAGCCGCGGUAAUACGGAGGGUGCGAGCGUUAAUCGGAAUUACUGGGCGUAAAGCGCGCGUAGGUGGCUUGAUAAGCCGGUUGUGAAAGCCCCGGGCUCAACCUGGGAACGGCAUCCGGAACUGUCAAGCUAGAGUGCAGGAGAGGAAGGUAGAAUUCCCGGUGUAGCGGUGAAAUGCGUAGAGAUCGGGAGGAAUACCAGUGGCGAAGGCGGCCUUCUGGACUGACACUGACACUGAGGUGCGAAAGCGUGGGUAGCAAACAGGAUUAGAUACCCUUGUAGUC